This 301-nucleotide ribosomal RNA is filed under the name uncultured bacterium. Its description in RNAcentral is "partial 16S ribosomal RNA". It matches the Rfam family "Bacterial small subunit ribosomal RNA", at positions 509 to 807 of the family's 1533-position model. The record is from RNAcentral.
CAGCAGCCACGGUAAUACAGAGGGUGCGAGCGUUAAUCGGAUUUACUGGGCGUAAAGCGUGCGUAGGCGGCUUUUUAAGUCGGAUGUGAAAUCCCUGAGAUUAACUUAGGAAUUGCAUUCGAUACUGGGAAGCUAGAGUAUGGGAGAGGAUGGUAGAAUUCCAGGUGUAGCGGUGAAAUGCGUAGAGAUCUGGAGGAAUACCGAUGGCGAAGGCAGCCAUCUGGCCUAAUACUGACGCUGAGGUACGAAAGCAUGGGGAGCAAACAGGAUUAGAUACCCCGGUAGUCCCUGUCUCUUAUAC